UUCGAGCGACUGGCUAGGCGUGCCAAUACUGACAAGCUGCUCAACUUCGUCAAUUACGUACGGAUGACGUGGUUGGACAGCACGGUUUGGUCGCCAGCCAGCUGGUGUGUAUUCGGACAGAGUGUGCGGACGAACAAUGAUGUCGAGGAGUGGCACCGCCGCAUUAAUUCUACAGGCAAUGGACAGCUGCCCUUCUACAUGUUGUUGGAACGUUUGAACCAGGAGGCCACCUUUGUAAAUAUUCAACUUCGUCUCGUGUCUGAGAAGAACUUACAGCAGUACAAGCAAUGUUAGGCAUCUGCAGGCAGCCCUGGCUGCAGAACCUGGGGCGGCAGCAUCAGGAGGUAUCUUGGCUGGCAGUGACCAGCCGGGUUCCGGGAAUUCUGCAACCUGUGGAGUCAGACAGCGUAUGCUCUCGGGGCUUGGGAUAACCCCGAGUAUAGCGGUGCGGAAGGCGGGCCGGCGCCGGAAUACGUGUCCCAGGUGGGGUUGGUCCAGCUGCGCCAGGCCUUUGCCUGGGGGCCAAGCCCAGCAGCGAAGUGGGAGGCUGAUCGAGGAGGAGGCUGAGGCAGAGCUGAAGCAGAGGACGGAGUCCGUCAUGGAGCUGUUGCAGCCAGAGGACAAGCUGGCACAGCAGUAGAGACAGCUGUGCUGCUUCGCGCCGGGUGCCGGUGCAACGCCAGAGAGUGCUUCACAGAGAAACCGGGUUCAUCCGCAUGAAUCCCACGUCGAACCAGCUUGCCUUCAUUUCCGCUCACAACAACGGGGUUGCUUAUGUUGAGGAGGGAACGUACAGCGACCGGGAACUGUGUGUGGCAUCCAGUAGUGUCCAGCGUGUUAGCUGGGCCACGGUGGAAGACCUGUUGCCAGAGUACCUACUGGACCUACUGGAGGACCAGGAAGACUGGCAGGUAUAGCAGCUGGACUGGGAAGAGGAGGACUGGGAUUCCGCCCCAGCCCCCACGACACCAUCGAGACCGGACUGGCAUUACUGGGAUGACUGGGAAGCUUUACCGCCGACCCUCGACAACCUGCCGGAGUUCCUCAAGUUCGAGCGGACGGAGGAGGAGAGGGACCUGGCAGGACGCUACUUCGAGGAGUUCCAGCACUUGGAGGACCGCGACUACCUGCCCGAGGUUCCCCUGCUGGAGUUCGUCCUAACAUCCGAUUUUUGGAGGACGGAGAAAUACAUCUUUUUCUUUUCUCCUUGAAAUGCAACGCUGCGUUCAAGUCGUGUCUUGUCGGGGCGGUUGAGUAUGUGCUGCCUUCGUUCCAUCGACUACAUCACGCGAGUGUCGGACUUUGUUAACCUGCCACAACCACCCAUUUCAAAAUUAUAUAGACAGGGUUAUCCCUCUUCCGCCAUCAGGGGUUAUUCUAGACGACACCUGGUGGAUGAUAAGCAGGUAUGACGAUUACGAAACGUACAUGCCUGAAGGGUUUAACCCAUUUCAGGACGAGCAGGGCUCUCUGGUAGAAAGAUAUUACCUGAGAUAUUACCGUUUCAUAUUGUCAUUCACGUCGAUUCAUGUCACAGUCCUGACAACAUGUAUCACUCAGAACUAUGUAUCACACAAUUUUCACUCAGAAAUUGUGUAUCAUUCAGAAAUUUUAUUAUUUUAACACUUUCAACGCGAAACACGAGUAUACUCGUUCAAAUCUGCAAAACGCA
Long non-coding RNA from Priapulus caudatus, 1672 nucleotides. RefSeq lists it as uncharacterized. NCBI's taxonomy places the organism in Eukaryota, Metazoa, Priapulida, Priapulimorpha, Priapulimorphida, Priapulidae. The record is from RefSeq and is a predicted model, not a curated record. The transcript is spliced from 3 exons.